CCCGCCCGGGCAGCGGCGCAGCCCCGGCCCCGGCCGCGGCCCUGUGAGGGUUGGGCUUCCCGCCGGUCUGCGCCCUGCGCGCCUCACCUGGCCUGUGGAGCUGCCCGUGAGUGCGCUGCCUCAGCCCAUGGCUGCGCUCCCUCCCCAGGCUGUCAGUUACUUUCUCCACUGCAUCCCUGCGCGGUUUCCUCUUGAAAUGGCAGACCCUCUUUCCCCUAGCAUAAACAUGUUUUCAAGCUUUCUCAUGUAUUUUUUGGACCUUCCAUUUUACUUCAUGAUGAUUACCUGUUUUCUGCUGGUUUUCUCCCCUCGCAGCCAGUCCAGCAAGAUGAGUUUCCAGGCCUGGCUGCCCCUGCCGCUGCCCGAGCAGCUGGUGGUGUUCGGGCUGGGAGACUGGAGCUGUUACUCCGCGGACACGAGCAUCGCAGUGGAUGUGCUGGUGUCCCCAGGCAUCGCACCGCAGCGGGUCGGCAUGCUGGAGCCCACCCGCAGGUCGUGGCGGGGGCUGGUGCUGCUGGGGUGUCAGGAGGGGUGUCCUGGACAAGCAUUCUUCUCUGUGGUGCUGCCUGGUUCUGCUGGUGUUGUCCCAAGCUGCUCAGGCCUGCUGGUCCUCCACCAUGGUAUUUCAAGUGAUCCUUUCAGCUUCCUUUUGGCUGCUUUCAGGGCUAGAUCUCUCUUUGACUUUGGGGUGUUAACAGCUAACGUGGAAGCAGUAGUUUUCCUCUGGUCAGUGUCACUUGUGGGCUGAAAACCCAUGGUCCCCUGUGCAGGUCUCUGGUGUGGGAAGGUGACUGGAGAAAGGAUGUUUUUAUGGCCUCAUUGGAAGAGAUGGACAAAGGCAACUCUGUGAAGCUUAUCCUGACUGUCAAUGGACAGUUGCUACGAGGUGUCUCCAGCAGUACGCCUGUCCACCCUUUCCUUGUCCCGGAGACCACACAGUCACCAGUGCUUCCUGCAGAUGAGAUGCCCCUUGGCCAGGACCUAGAGGAUCCUACUGCAGUUAAGAGUCAGAGCUCAGAGGUGACUGCUAGAGCAUCCAGGCCUGGGAGGAAGGAUGCUCACCCACCGCUGAGGACCCUGGUGGUACCCUGUGCUCUGAAGCCACCAUCUGGCAAGGUGGAAGCCAGUGAGGCCUGGAGGGAGAGUCCUGUCCACCUCAAGAAGCCCAGGAAAGUUUUAUUCGAGCCCACAGCAUCUGAGAGAGAUCUUGAUGAAGAAGAUCUGGCAGUAGAGGAGUUGCAAGGCAGUCCCAGCCCACGGUGGUGCCAUGCCAUGUGCCUCAGUGACCUGGGGACAGCUGUUCUGAUUGGUGGAGAAGGUGCUGAUCAGCAGCCCUGCAAGGAUGCAUUCUGGAAGCUGGAAAUUGGUGGGAACUAUCAAAAGCAAUGGGAGCAGUGGGACCCGAGGGCAACUCAUGCAGGUGGGAGGGGGUACUGAAGGGUCUGUGCAAAGGUGUCACAUCUCCUAGGAUGGUCACCAGGCUGAGCUGACGACACAGGCUGCCAUGAAAGGCUGUGGGGUUGUAUGUGAGAACCCUCCAGGACCUAAGACAGUGAUUUCUGGCUUCCAGUGGGUUUCCAGCUACAGAAUGCCAUGCCAUUGUGCUUGCGUGGUCACACAGCUACCUACGACCCAGACACCAAGCGUAUCUACAUCUUUGGGGGCAUAAGGGAGGACAAAACCAACAGCAGCAUCUACAUUCUAGACACAAUCACUUGGAAAUGGCUCCUAGUGGCUGCUAAAGGGAGGAUGCCAGUGCUCAGCUACCACAGUGCAACUAUCUACUGCAAGGAGCUCUUUGUUUUUGGAGGGACUUCCCCCCAGAAGGCAUCAAUGGCAGCUGGACCCUGCAGCAAUGUGCUCUAUAUCUUCAAUCCAGAGCAUGAAAUUUGGUAUCAGCCCAUCUCGGAAGGGGAGAAGCCUCUGCCUAGGCUUGGGCAUUCAGCUACUUUACUGAAGAACAAGCUGCUGAUUUUUGGGGGUCGGAGGGCUUCUCUCUACCUCAGUGACAUGCACAUCCUAGAUCUGGGUUUCAUGGAGUACACACCAGUCCCCCUCCUCGCAGGACAGCCUUCUGCACGUUGUUUUCAUGCAGCUCUGGCUGUGUCGGACCAGAAGGUUCUCAUCAGUGGAGGUUGCAAUACCAGGGGAGCCCUGCAGGAUGCAUUUGUCUUCCACCUAGAUACUCUUUCAUGGAGCACGGUGAUCCACCAUGACCUCUGCUCUGUGCCCCGAGCUGGCCAUACGUUGCUUGACCUAUGUCCUGCCCGCCUGAUGGAUGUGGACAAGGAGAAUAAAAAGGAGCAUAACCUGCACACGGUGUUGGUCUUUGGGGGCUCCAACUGUGCUGGGACCUUCUACAACAGCACAGUCAAGAUCCAGCUGGACCUAGGAUAAUGCAGAAUACUCAGAAUAAGCCUGGAACAGCAAAGGCUCUUCACCAGCCUGAAUACAGACAUGGAUUGCAAUAAAUGAGUCCAAGCAAUGUGGCAGUCCAAGUAUGUAUAUGUAGGUGAAUGCUUUCAUGAUCACAAGAGAUUCUGAAGGCUGUGGGUGUUUCCCUCUUAAGGUAGCUAAGCCAGCACUGGACUGGCAGAAAUUCCCUCUGAUAUCCCUGGCUUUCGUAUGUGGGCUUGGGUGCCAAAACAUUCAGUGGGAUCUGAGCUGAGCCUGCAGAGGAACACAGUCACAGGUUUCUGGGCUGGAAUUCCCAGGGUGCUUUCAGCUCUGAAGGUAACUCAGGUUUCACUUGGGAUGAGUGGAAUGGGAUU
Strigops habroptila (Kakapo) is the source of this 2771-nucleotide RNA transcript. It is a transcript of the gene named rab9 effector protein with kelch motifs-like, with no coding region annotated. Lineage: Eukaryota; Metazoa; Chordata; Aves; Psittaciformes; Psittacidae. The record is from RefSeq and is a predicted model, not a curated record. The transcript is spliced from 11 exons.